This 253-nucleotide ribosomal RNA is filed under the name uncultured bacterium. RNAcentral's name for it is "partial 16S ribosomal RNA". It matches the Rfam family "Bacterial small subunit ribosomal RNA", at positions 524 to 776 of the family's 1533-position model. The record is from RNAcentral.
UACAUGGGGUGCAAACGUUGCUCGGAAUUAUUGGGCGUAAAGCGCGCGUAGGCGGUUACUCAAGUCGGAUGUGAAAGCCCUCGGCUUAACUGAGGAAGUGCACCCGAAACUGAGUAGCUAGAGUACUAAAGAGGGUCGCGGAAUUCCCGGUGUAGAGGUGAAAUUCGUAGAUAUCGGGAGGAACACCGGUGGCGAAGGCGGCGACCUGGGUAGAUACUGACGCUGAGGCGCGAAAGCGUGGGUAGCAAACAGG